This 1058-nucleotide ribosomal RNA is filed under the name uncultured bacterium. RNAcentral describes it as "bacterial SSU rRNA". It matches the Rfam family "Bacterial small subunit ribosomal RNA", at positions 338 to 1397 of the family's 1533-position model. The record is from RNAcentral.
CCUACGGGAGGCAGCAGUGAGGAAUAUUGGUCAAUGGGGGCAACCCUGAACCAGCCAUGCCGCGUGCAGGAAGACGGCCCUAUGGGUUGUAAACUGCUUUUCUACGGGAAUAAAGUGAUCUACGUGUAGGUCUUUGAAGGUACCGUAGGAAUAAGCAUCGGCUAACUCCGUGCCAGCAGCCGCGGUAAUACGGAGGAUGCAGGCGUUAUCCGGAUUUAUUAGGUUUAAAGGGUGCGUAGGCGGCGCUUUAAGUCAGUGGUGAAAGUUUGCAGCUCAACUGUAAAAUUGCCAUUGAUACUGGAGCGCUUGAAUAUGGUAGAGGUAGGCGGAAUGUGUAGUGUAGCGGUGAAAUGCUUAGAUAUUACACAGAACACCAAUUGCGAAGGCAGCUUACUAUGCCAUUAUUGACGCUGAGGCACGAAAGCGUGGGGAGCGAACAGGAUUAGAUACCCUGGUAGUCCACGCCGUAAACGAUGAUUACUGGUUGUGUGCGAUACACAGUGCGCGACUGAGGGAAACCAUUAAGUAAUCCACCUGGGGAGUACGUUCGCAAGAAUGAAACUCAAAGGAAUUGACGGGGGCCCGCACAAGCGGAGGAACAUGUGGUUUAAUUCGAUGAUACGCGAGGAACCUUACCUGGGCUUAAAUGUAGAGUGCAUGACUUGGAAACAGGCCUUUCCUUCGGGACUCUUUACAAGGUGCUGCAUGGUUGUCGUCAGCUCGUGCCGUGAGGUGUCGGGUUAAGUCCCAUAACGAGCGCAACCCCUAUCGUUAGUUGCCAGCGGGUAAUGCCGGGGACUCUAAUGAAACUGCCGGUGUAAACCGUGAGGAAGGUGGGGAUGACGUCAAAUCAGCACGGCCCUUAUGUCCAGGGCUACACACGUGUUACAAUGGCCAGUACAAUGGGCAGCUACCCCGCGAGGGGAUGCUAAUCUCCAAAGCUGGUCUCAGUUCGGAUCGGAGUCUGCAACUCGACUCCGUGAAGUUGGAUUCGCUAGUAAUCGUAUAUCAGCAAUGAUACGGUGAAUACGUUCCCGGGCCUUGUACACACCGCCCGU